This 229-nucleotide long non-coding RNA is filed under the name Rosa chinensis. RNAcentral describes it as "sRNA RchiOBHm_Chr4g0422001". Lineage: Eukaryota; Viridiplantae; Streptophyta; Magnoliopsida; Rosales; Rosaceae. The record is from RNAcentral.
CCUCCAUGCUUCGAUCUGGGUUAUGAAACUUGGCAAGCAUGAAGAGUGGCUCAAGGCGCUUCUAAUGGACCUGGGUUUAUGACCGGAGGUGGCCGGAAAUCGGCGUUGACUGAUUUGCUACAGUAAAAAUAUUGGCUUCGAUCUCCAUAUUUCCGGCCAAACCGCCGUAAACAACUCCUACAUGCGUGUUAAGGAGGAGGAGACGAGUCUAUUGACGCUCGCAGCUCGC